GACGAACGCUGGCGGCGUGCCUAACACAUGCAAGUCGAACGAAGCAUAGCAAUAUGCUUAGUGGCGGACGGGUGAGUAACGCGUGAACAAUCUGCCCUGUACAAAGGAAUAGCCUCGGGAAACCGGGAUUAAAACCGUAUGACACUUUAGUAUCGCAUGAUAAGAAAGUCAAAUCGAUUAGAGGUAUGGGAUGAGUUCGCGUCUGAUUAGCUGGUUGGCGGGGUAACGGCCCACCAAGGCGACGAUCAGUAGCCGGCCUGAGAGGGUGAACGGCCACACUGGAACUGAGACACGGUCCAGACUCCUACGGGAGGCAGCAGUGGGGAAUAUUGCACAAUGGAGGGAACUCUGAUGCAGCGACGCCGCGUGAGUGAAGAAGGUCUUCGGAUCGUAAAACUCUGUCCUUGGUGAAGAAAGGACGGUAGCCAAGGAGGAAGCCCGGCUAACUACGUG
RNAcentral lists this ribosomal RNA (453 nucleotides) under uncultured bacterium. RNAcentral's name for it is "bacterial SSU rRNA". It matches the Rfam family "Bacterial small subunit ribosomal RNA", at positions 28 to 507 of the family's 1533-position model. The record is from RNAcentral.